Molecule: RNA transcript, 3638 nt
Organism: Ipomoea triloba (trilobed morning glory)
Lineage: Eukaryota; Viridiplantae; Streptophyta; Magnoliopsida; Solanales; Convolvulaceae
Gene name: triadin-like
Exons: 9
Source: RefSeq, a predicted model, not a curated record
CCUUUUCUUCUCCUUCACACUCCAAAGGCCUAAGCUUUUCUCUGUGCUUUCCAUCUUCACGCUCCAUAAUAGGGAGCAAUACACAAAAUUUUAUUAAAAAAAAAAAAAGGAAGAAAACAAAAAUAGUAGAAAAUAAAGAGAGAGAGAAAAAAUGACACUUUUUUUGGGUUUUAGCUCCAAAUUCCAUUUGAAUUCUCACCAAAGCCUCCCUCUCUGAGCUUCCUUCAGCUCCAUUAUUGAUGAGAUGAGAUUUUGGGUGCUGCUAAGAGCUUAAGAAUUCUCAGUCUGUAAUUGCAUAUUUAAAGCCUGCAGUUGUAAGGAUUCUUGUAUUGAGGAACAGGAUGGUGGACUAUAUCGAAUUUCGGGUUUUUCCAAGCCAGAAUAGAUAUGAGGCUUGCAUUUGUUACCACAACAAGAUAGAGACUGUUGCCUCUGGAGUUCUGGAGCCACUGGCUAUGCAGUCUCCCAAAAUCAAAGCUUUAUGCUCCAGAGGAUCAGAUGAAACCUUCAAACUUCAACCACCAGAGAAGCUUAAUGAUGCCAAGUGGUUUACAAGAUCUGCUUUAAUGAGAUUUGUUCAUAUUGUCAGUUCAUCAGAAGUUCUGGAUAAGGUCAAGGCUAUGGAAAAUGAGAUAUCUCAGCUGGAAGAAUCCCUAAAAUUUCAUGCUUCUAUAUAUGCAAAGGCUGAUGAUACUUACGUCGCACCCGAUGCUUCCAAGAACGAAUUACUUCGGGCGAUGGAGUUGAGGCGCACAACAUUAAGAGGAGAUUUAGAGAGUGCUUGGUACCAAGCUGCUGGUUCUUCUGAGGAAAUUUCUGACAUUCUGAAGUUCUGUCAUCAUUUUGGAGCUGUCGACUUGAGCAACUCCUUGCAGAAGUUUCUUGGGUUGAGCCAAGAGGACAUGCCUGCAAAUGUAGCAGAAGUUAAGGAUUCUGUCCCAGAAACUUGUCCAACACAAUCAGAAACACCUGUUAUAUAUGGUGCCUCUCCUGCAAAAGCUGCUCAGAUUGAGAGGCAAAGCUCAUCAGAAGGGGAGGAGUCUUCAUGCAUCAGUGAGGAGGAUCAACCAUCAGUGGAACGAAGUCGGCCCCUAACUCGAUCUGCCUCACCACGACGGUCUGCUUCCCCAAUGCGACGAAUCCAGAUAGGGCGCUCUGGUACCCGAAGGUCCACUGCUUUAACCAUCAAGAGCUUGAGCUACUUCCCUGCCAGAGAAAAGCUAGUCUGUCAAGAGAAAAGCGACGAGGAAGAAUCUGAGCAAACCUCAAGAACAUCAGAGAAUAACGUACGCAGAAUGAGCGUGCAGGACAGGAUCAGUCUCUUCGAGGGCAAACAGAAAACUCAAACCGAUGAUACUCAGAAAAUGAAGUCAGUUCUAAAUGCUGCUCCUGUGAUGGCUGCAAAUAAAGCUGUACUGAGAAGAUGGAGUGCAGGGAUGGGUGAUUCUAGCUCUCCUGCUUCUGAUAAUCCUCAUUCCAUGGAAUCAGGACAAGAAAUUCCGAGUGCCUCAGAAGCGAUACUAGGUCCUGAUUCGUGUACUAGUGGCUUACCCCCCGAGGCUGCUGAAAUAGGAGAGAAACCUGAUGUGUGUGAGGAAAGAGUUCCAAGUCAUGAGGGAAUGGAGGAAGAUGAUCUCCCAGUCCAAAGAGAAGAAGGUAGUGAAAUGGAAGCUGCAUCAGCCGAGAGGACUUGCCAGAAGGACGAGGAGGUAAGCCCGCCUCAGAUUGCCAUGACGAACGCCCAGCCUGCAGAAAGUGAAGGUCUUAAUGAGCAGACGGUUCGUCCUUCCAAUCAUCGUUACAGAGAAAAGAGGAACGAGAAGCUUCAAGGUGAGACUGAUAGAAAGCGAGUAGAGAGGAAAAAUCCCAGAAGUAAUCUUGAUGAAGGAAUAGCUAGAAAGACCUCUGGAAAUUCAAGUACUGUAAAGAAAACCCAAAGAACACUGAAGAAUUCACUUCAGUCUGCAAAUCCAAAAGACGAAACUUCAAAACCUGGUGUUGUGAAGAAAGCUUCUAGUGCAAAAGCUUCACCUUUACCUGCCACGCGUAAAUCAUGGCCAUCAACACCAUCACCAAGAGCUAUCGGGGCAUCACAAGUUAAAACUCCAUCACCGAGAGCUAUUACUGGUGUGAUUCCUGCCACCAGAAGAUCAAAGCCAACACCAUCAGUUCCUCAAAAAUUUGAAAGAUCACAACAGCCAGAGACGACGUCUGUGAAAGCAUCCCCAAGUGAUACUAGGAAGAGUGUGAAAAACUCGAUAAGAAAGCAGCAGCAAGAGGUCAUAGGAGCAAGCAAACUUACAAAAACCAAAGUUAAGGCUAACGAGGUAUCCAAGAAAAGCAGCAUGGCUCCUCUGGAACUAAAGGAACCAGCUAAGAAACCGAGGCCUUUUCUCCACAAGGAGUCUAGGACUGGACCUGGCAUAAGUCCAGGUGCCAAAUCAAAAAUUUCUCCACCAGUAGAUCCUUUGAGGGACUCAGUGGAUUCGGGUAGAGCUAAAGAGAACGAGAUGGCUUCUGUUGUUUAUGAACAGGUGCAUCAAAAUGAGGAUAGAGGUCUUACCGAAGUAAAAGUCCAUGCAGAUCUUGAAACAGAAACACAGCUAAAUAUCCCACAGAAAUACGAAGAAGCUGGAAGUUCUAAUCCAGUUACUUCCAACAAUGAAGUUGAUUUCCAAAGUAAACACAUGUCUGCAGUAAAAGACGACUCUGAAGAUGAACCUAACAUUUCUCCCGGAGCUUGGACAAAAAUAGAAGAGCACGAGGAUGAACAGAUUCCAUCCAAUACCACUGCUACCCAUAGCAAACCUCUUGCAACUGAACCCGAGAGUGCUGCAAUUCCACAGGUUCAUCCCUCUUUUUCUCAACCUUUCCAGGAUGAAAGCAGUGACUCUGGUGAUGUAGCCUGGGGGAAUGCAGAUAAUCCUCCUACAAUGGUCUAUCAGAAGGACGCGCCCAAAGGACUGAAAAAGCUUCUAAAGUUUGCUAGGAAGAGUAAGACCGAUGCAAACACAACACGUUUGUCAAGCCAGUCUGUCAUUUCCAAACGAGGGGAUGUCAUAGAGGAAACCAUAGCUCUUAGUAAGAAGGAUGGUGACAAUCUACUGAAGAAGGCCACAUCGCAUACAAAGAACUACGGGAAUAAAAUUGCUUUAUCAAGUGAAUCCCGCACUAAAGAUCCAACUACUCAUGGAGUUUCUGAAAGCAACAACCUUUGCAGCUCAAGCGGGUAAAGGCAAACUAGUUUCCCAAAGCAAAUCUCAGAAACUGCCAGAGGGCGCAAAAGCAACAAGAUCAUUUUUCUCUCUUUCAGCAUUCAAGGGGACCAAGCAGAAUGAUCCGCUGGUUCAUUGACAACCAAGUUCAGAUACAUCAUGACAUGAACCGACUUCUCUGGCUCUGCUCGAGUGCUCGUGGAAUUUGCUUCCUUCUCUGCAUGGUCUGUACACAGGCAAUUGCAGCUAAGGUGGUUGGAACGUUGGAUAGCGUAGCGUGCAGUGUACAUAGUGUGCUUCUAUGUAUUUAACAUAUCAACUAUGUAACCAAAUAUUUCAUCCAUCAAACAGUAUUGCCUCUAUAUGUAUCAAGACAACCUUAGCCUUUUUGCUGCAGCAAUAUAUCAUUUGUCUAUCAAAAUA